AAACCUUAUUUUUCUUCUAAGGAGCAAUAUGUAAGAUACAGAAUUAAAUCAUAAAAUGAGCUUACUAUAUCAUCAGACACUAAGGAAACAUUGUUGUUCUCUGACAACAAUGCAGCAGUAAGUAUGUCCGUGGUUUUAAGGCACCCUCACAUAGCCGUUUUGGGUUUGUUGUAAGUGGGACAGAUUUAGCAGAAAUGUCAUGUAAUUUAA
Long non-coding RNA from Labrus mixtus (cuckoo wrasse), 210 nucleotides. RefSeq lists it as uncharacterized. NCBI's taxonomy places the organism in Eukaryota, Metazoa, Chordata, Actinopteri, Labriformes, Labridae. The record is from RefSeq and is a predicted model, not a curated record. The transcript is spliced from 2 exons.